GGUUAUUUUAAAGAUGGGUUCUCACGUAACUCAAGUUUGCCUUGUACUCAUAGGUAUCCCAGGAUGACCUUGAACUCCUGAUCCUUCUGCCUCCACCCCCUGAAUGCUGACAUUGUGGGCUUGUAUCACAACUGGCUUCUGGCUGGGUCCUGUUAACUUCUGAAGACUAAGUGAAGUAGAUCUUAGGAAAUGUCAUGGCUGCAAAGAUUCUGAAGCAAGAGAAGAGAGAGCAGACAGGCAGGUGGAUGGGGCAGAUGAUGGCCCAGGCUGUGACCUAUGGAAGCCCUUGA
Molecule: long non-coding RNA, 290 nt
Filed under: Rattus norvegicus (Norway rat)
Lineage: Eukaryota; Metazoa; Chordata; Mammalia; Rodentia; Muridae
Description: long non-coding RNA NONRATT033678
Source: RNAcentral